Molecule: ribosomal RNA, 98 nt
Organism: Cercocebus atys (sooty mangabey)
Lineage: Eukaryota; Metazoa; Chordata; Mammalia; Primates; Cercopithecidae
Source: Ensembl
GUCUAGGGCCAUACCACCCUAUCCCAGAUGCUAAGCAGGGUCGGGCCUGGCCAGUACUUGGAUGAGAGACCUCCUGGGAAUAUCGAGUGCUUUUGUCU